AACGAACGCUGGCGGCAGGCUUAACACAUGCAAGUCGAGCGAGACCUUCGGGUCUAGCGGCGGACGGGUGAGUAACGCGUGGGAACGUGCCCUUCUCUACGGAAUAGCCCCGGGAAACUGGGAGUAAUACCGUAUACGCCCUUUGGGGGAAAGAUUUAUCGGAGAAGGAUCGGCCCGCGUUGGAUUAGGUAGUUGGUGGGGUAAUGGACCCCCAAGCCGACGAUCCAUAGCUGGUUUGAGAGGAUGAUCAGCCACACUGGGAUUGAGACACGGCCCAGACUCCUACGGGAGGCAGCAGUGGGGAAUCUUAGACAAUGGGGGCAACCCUGAUCUAGCCAUGCCGCGUGAGUGAUGAAGGCCUUAGGGUUGUAAAGCUCUUUCAGCUGGGAAGAUAAUGACGGUACCAGCAGAAGAAGCCCCGGCUAACUCCGUG
RNAcentral lists this ribosomal RNA (433 nucleotides) under uncultured bacterium. RNAcentral's name for it is "partial 16S ribosomal RNA". It matches the Rfam family "Bacterial small subunit ribosomal RNA", at positions 29 to 507 of the family's 1533-position model. The record is from RNAcentral.